ACGAACGCUGGCGGCGUGCCUCAUCCAUGCAAGUUGAGCGCUGAAGGUUGGUACUUGUACCAACUGGAUGAGCAGCGAACGGGUGAGUAACGCGUGGGGAAUCUGCCUUUGAGCGGGGGACAACAUUUGGAAACGAAUGCUAAUACCGCAUAAAAACUUUAAACACAAGUUUUAAGUUUGAAAGAUGCAAUUGCAUCACUCAAAGAUGAUCCCGCGUUGUAUUAGCUAGUUGGUGAGGUAAAGGCUCACCAAGGCGAUGAUACAUAGCCGACCUGAGAGGGUGAUCGGCCACAUUGGGACUGAGACACGGCCCAAACUCCUACGGGAGGCAGCAGUAGGGAAUCUUCGGCAAUGGACGAAAGUCUGACCGAGCAACGCCGCGUGAGUGAAGAAGGUUUUCGGAUCGUAAAACUCUGUUGGUAGAGAAGAACGUUGGUGAGAGUGGAAAGCUCAUCAAGUGACGGUAACUACCCAGAAAGGGACGGCUAACUACGUG
RNAcentral lists this ribosomal RNA (496 nucleotides) under uncultured bacterium. RNAcentral's name for it is "partial 16S ribosomal RNA". It matches the Rfam family "Bacterial small subunit ribosomal RNA", at positions 29 to 507 of the family's 1533-position model. The record is from RNAcentral.